GAGGUGCCGAGCGUUAGGCGGAAUCACUGGGCUUAAAGCGUGUGUAGGCGGGCCGUUAAGUACCUUGUGAAAUCCCCCGGCUCAACCGGGGAACGGCUGGGUAUACUGGCGGUCUUGGGGCCACCUAGGGGCGGACGGAACAAGCGGUGGAGCGGUGAAAUGCGUAGAUAUCGCUUGGAACGCCGACGGCGAAAGCAGUCCGCUGGGGGUGAGCCGACGCUGAGACACGAAAGCCAGGGGAGCGAACGGGAUUAGAUACCCCCGGUAGUCCUGGCCCUAAACGAUGUCCACUAGGUCGCCGCCCCUUUGACGGGGGUGGCGGCCGAAGCAAAAGUGCUAAGUGGACCGCCUGGGAAGUACGGUCGCAAGGCUA
This 373-nucleotide ribosomal RNA is filed under the name uncultured organism. Its description in RNAcentral is "bacterial SSU rRNA". It matches the Rfam family "Bacterial small subunit ribosomal RNA", at positions 528 to 896 of the family's 1533-position model. The record is from RNAcentral.